Molecule: ribosomal RNA, 253 nt
Filed under: uncultured bacterium
Lineage: Bacteria
Description: partial 16S ribosomal RNA
Rfam family: Bacterial small subunit ribosomal RNA
Source: RNAcentral
UACGAAGGGGGCUAGCGUUGUUCGGAAUCACUGGGCGUAAAGCGCACGCAGGCGGAUUGAUAAGUCAGGGGUGAAAUCCCGGAGCUCAACUUCGGAAUUGCCUUUGAUACUGUCUGUCUUGAGUCCGGGAGAGGUGAGUGGAAUUCCUAGUGUAGAGGUGAAAUGCGUAGAUAUUGGGAGGAACACCAGUGGCGAAGGCGGCUCACUGGACCGGUUCUGACGCUGAGGCGCGAAAGCGUGGGGAGCAAACGGG